This 232-nucleotide ribosomal RNA is filed under the name uncultured bacterium. RNAcentral describes it as "partial 16S ribosomal RNA". It matches the Rfam family "Bacterial small subunit ribosomal RNA", at positions 99 to 334 of the family's 1533-position model. The record is from RNAcentral.
CGGACGGGUGAGUAAUGUCUGGGAAACUGCCCGAUGGAGGGGGAUAACUACUAGAAACGGUAGCUAAUACCGCAUAACGUCGCAAGACCAAAGAGGGGGACCUUAGGGCCUCUUGCCAUCGGAUGUGCCCAGAUGGGAUUAGCUAGUAGGUGGGGUAAUGGCUCACCUAGGCGACGAUCCCUAGCUGGUCUGAGAGGAUGACCAGCCACACUGGAACUGAGACACGGUCCAG